GAACUUGCUACGGCGGUACAAAUUCUAAAAUUGGAACGAUACAGAGAAGAUUAGUAUGGCGCCUGCGCAAGGAUAACAUGCAAAUUCGUGAAGCAUUCCAUAUUUUA
RNAcentral lists this small nuclear RNA (107 nucleotides) under Octopus vulgaris (common octopus). RNAcentral also lists the same sequence under 1 other name. Lineage: Eukaryota; Metazoa; Mollusca; Cephalopoda; Octopoda; Octopodidae. The record is from RNAcentral.